This 404-nucleotide ribosomal RNA is filed under the name uncultured bacterium. Its description in RNAcentral is "bacterial SSU rRNA". It matches the Rfam family "Bacterial small subunit ribosomal RNA", at positions 355 to 775 of the family's 1533-position model. The record is from RNAcentral.
UAGGGAAUAUUGCUUAAUGGGCGAAAGCCUGAAGCAGCAACGCCGCGUGUGUGAAGAAGGCCUUCGGGUUGUAAAACACUUCUUGAGGGAAUGAGGAAGGACAGUACCCUCAGAAUAAGCCUCGGCUAACUACGUGCCAGCAGCCGCGGUAAAACGUAGGAGGCGAGCGUUAUCCGGAUUUACUGGGCGUAAAGCGCGUGCAGGCGGCACGGCAAGUUGGAUGUGAAAGCUCCCGGCUUAACUGGGAGAGGUCGUUCAAAACUGCCGAGCUAGAGUGCGGGAGAGGGAGGUGGAAGUCCGGGUGUAGUGGUGAAAUGCGUAGAUAUCAGGAGGAACACCAGUGGCGAAAGCGGCCUCCUGGUCCGCAACUGACGCUCAGACGCGAAAGCUAGGGUAGCAAACGG